This 518-nucleotide ribosomal RNA is filed under the name Neofusicoccum parvum. Its description in RNAcentral is "eukaryotic LSU rRNA". The stretch from base 144 to 297 matches the Rfam family "5.8S ribosomal RNA". The record is from RNAcentral. Lineage: Eukaryota; Fungi; Ascomycota; Dothideomycetes; Botryosphaeriales; Botryosphaeriaceae.
CUACCAAGUGCUGCGGGCUUUGCUGCCAUCUCUUACCCAUGUCUUUUGAGUACCUUCGUUUCCUCGGCGGGUUCGCCCGCCGGUUGGACAACACUUAAACCCUUUGUAAUUGAAAUCAGCGUCUGAAAAACUUUAAUAGUUACAACUUUCAACAACGGAUCUCUUGGUUCUGGCAUCGAUGAAGAACGCAGCGAAAUGCGAUAAGUAGUGUGAAUUGCAGAAUUCAGUGAAUCAUCGAAUCUUUGAACGCACAUUGCGCCCCUUGGUAUUCCAUGGGGCAUGCCUGUUCGAGCGUCAUUUGUACCUUCAAGCUCUGCUUGGUGUUGGGUGUUUGUCUCGCCUUUUGCGCGCAGACUCGCCUCAAAACGAUUGGCAGCCGGCGUAUUGAUUUCGGAGCGCAGUACAUCUCGCGCUUUGCACUCACAACGACGACGUCCAAAAAGUACAUUUUUACACUCUUGACCUCGGAUCAGGUAGGGAUACCCGCUGAACUUAAGCAUAUCAAUAAGGCGGAGGAA